Molecule: ribosomal RNA, 393 nt
Filed under: uncultured bacterium
Lineage: Bacteria
Description: partial 16S ribosomal RNA
Rfam family: Bacterial small subunit ribosomal RNA
Source: RNAcentral
AUACGGAGGGUGCAAGCGUUAAUCGGAAUUACUGGGCGUAAAGCGCACGUAGGCUGUUGUGUAAGUCAGGGGUGAAAUCCCACGGCUCAACCGUGGAACUGCCUUUGAUACUGCACGACUUGAAUCCGGGAGAGGGUGGCGGAAUUCCAGGUGUAGGAGUGAAAUCCGUAGAUAUCUGGAGGAACACCAGUGGCGAAGGCGGCCACCUGGACCGGUAUUGACGCUGAGGUGCGAAAGCGGGGGGAGCAAACAGGAUUAGAUACCCGGGUAGUCCACGCCGUAAACGAUGGAUGCUAGAUGUCGGGGGGUUGCCCUCGGUGUCGUAGUUAACGCGUUAAGCAUCCCGCCUGGGGAGUACGGUCGCAAGGCUGAAACUCAAAUGAAUUGACGGGG